GCAACAAUGAGGGUGGAUUGUGCAGGGGCAGGUGAAUAGGAGGGUGGUAGUGGAGGUGGUACAAGGGAAGACAUCAUAAGGAACCCAGCUUGCCAGCUGGACAGCAGCAGGUGGAGGCUGUUUCCUCUUCAAAGGAAGCAACACCCAAGACAGCCCAGGGAGCCCCCGAAAUGCACCAGCCUAGACUGUGUCACCACCCCAGUCUGGCACAGAGGGAAGGCACAAAUACGUGACAAAUGGAGGGGCUGCUCUUCCAGCUGACAUCCCUGCAGUUCUUACUCUAAUCUUGGAGUCCUGGCCUGGCACGGUGGCGCACACCUGUAAUCCCAG
This 330-nucleotide long non-coding RNA is filed under the name Fukomys damarensis (Damara mole-rat). RNAcentral's name for it is "lncRNA (ENSFDAG00000025887.1)". The record is from RNAcentral. Lineage: Eukaryota; Metazoa; Chordata; Mammalia; Rodentia; Bathyergidae.